CCCGAAACUAGGUGAGCUACUUCGAAACAGUUAUAAGAACCAACCCGUCUCUGUUGCAAAAGAGUGGGAAAAUUUCCAAGUAGUGGCGAUAAACCUACCGCACCAAGAGAUAGCUGGUUGCUCAAGAAAAGAAUUUUAGUUCUACCUCAAGUUUUUUAGUUCCCAGAAACUUCAACUAAACUUAAGAGCUAUUCAAAUAAGGCACAGCUUAUUUGAAAAAGGGUACAACCUCCUAUAUUGGGUAAUUUAUUAAGAAAAAUUAUCAAGUGGGCCUAAAAGCAGCCACCUUUUAAAAAGCGUUAAAGCUUCACUUUUAUUCUUGUAAAAUAACCUUAUUAACAUACAACCCAUUAUUAAUAUUGAGCAACUCCAUAAAAAUAUGGAAGAUAUAAUGCUAGAACUAGUAACAAGAAGCUGAACUUCUCCAAAAUGUAAGCUUAAGCCACUUUAGACAAACUAUUGGCAAUUAACGUUUAUGAAUUCACUUUAUCAACCACACAAGAAAACCUUAAAUAUCUUAACGUUAAACUUACACCAGAACAUUUAUGGAAAGAUCAAAAGAAAAAGAAGGAACUCGGCAAACACUAACCC
Molecule: ribosomal RNA, 591 nt
Filed under: Guibemantis methueni
Lineage: Eukaryota; Metazoa; Chordata; Amphibia; Anura; Mantellidae
Description: partial large subunit ribosomal RNA
Rfam family: Bacterial large subunit ribosomal RNA (bases 1-398)
Source: RNAcentral